Molecule: long non-coding RNA, 247 nt
Filed under: Sorghum bicolor (sorghum)
Lineage: Eukaryota; Viridiplantae; Streptophyta; Magnoliopsida; Poales; Poaceae
Description: long non-coding RNA (SBIC_LNC018332)
Source: RNAcentral
GGUUAAGUCAAAUAUAUUAUUAAGAGCACAGAUCAGCAAAUCAACUCAGUUACCACAAUGAAAGAUAGCACAUUGUUCCAUCAAAAAAAAAGAUAGCACAUUAUAUAUAUUCUUGUUGCUCAAAGUUUUAACAGGGUACAGAAAAAUCAAAGGAAUGGAAUAUCAAAGCUAUCCACUUCAUUAAGGCAUGCUAAAAUACAUUCCUGCCUUAGAAUACUUCAGCUCUGAGAUCUCCAAGAGACUCUCU